UUGUGCGAUUUUAUGGAAAAUGGGUUUAAAUGGUAAAUUGCUAUGUUUUAAGAGAAAUUGUAAUUUUAUAAAAUGAUUUUAUAAAUUUUCUGGAAAAUCGAAUAUUGGUUUUGAAAAUAGAGUAAUUGGAGAUUGCUAGUUUGUGUUGCAAAUUUAUGGUUUUAAAUUGAAUGGCUUAUGACAAUAAAUGAGCAUGAAUGGCUAAACUGAUUUUGGUGUUAGAAUUAUUUAUACUGUGUAUUCAGCCUUGAGAGACUAGGUUGCGAUAAAUUGCCAUGUCAUGCUAGAAUGAAUUUUAUUGAUUGGUGGAUUAUAUAUUAAUUAUUUACUGCAAAGGGGGUUCCGUGGACCAGCCUAUUAGAGGGGCACGGUAAACUCCAUUAUAUUAUUACCUCGAACGGAGAGGCGCGUAAGGUAUCUCCUGGGGUAAAGCUUAGGGUUCACUUCAUGCCAAACCACCACGUGAAGGGGAACUCAGCCAACGCCAAGGAACGGUUGUAUUUUUCUUAAACUAAAAUAUAUUUUAAGUGUAUAGAAAAUUUUAACAGCCUUGGCGGAC
This 559-nucleotide long non-coding RNA is filed under the name Theobroma cacao (cacao). Its description in RNAcentral is "long non-coding RNA (TCAC_LNC000440)". Lineage: Eukaryota; Viridiplantae; Streptophyta; Magnoliopsida; Malvales; Malvaceae. The record is from RNAcentral.